This 1382-nucleotide ribosomal RNA is filed under the name Fusobacterium necrophorum. RNAcentral describes it as "partial 23S ribosomal RNA". It matches the Rfam family "Bacterial large subunit ribosomal RNA", at positions 1 to 1378 of the family's 2925-position model. The record is from RNAcentral. Lineage: Bacteria; Fusobacteriati; Fusobacteriota; Fusobacteriia; Fusobacteriales; Fusobacteriaceae.
AUUAAAGUAACAAAGGGCACACAAGGGAUGCCUAGGUAGAAAGAGCCGAAGAAGGACGUGGUAAGCUGCGAUAAGCUUGGCGAAGUUGCAAACGAACGUGGAUGCCAAGAUUUCCGAAUGGAGCAAUCUGUAAAGAGUCAUGUCUUUACACGAAAGAGGGAACCGGGUGAACUGAAACAUCUAAGUAAUCCGAGGAAAAGAAAGUAACAACGAUACCCUAAGUAGCGGCGAGCGAACGGGGUAGAGCCUAAACCGUAUUCAUGUCAAGGAUGCAGCCGUUGUGGAUACGGGGUAGCGGGAAAGAGAGAGAAAGAACUGCAAGCUAUUUCGCAGACGUAAGCAAAGGAACAAGAAAGAUCUGGAAAGGUCUACCGUAGAAGGUGAAAGUCCUGUAUUGGUAGUUUUCUUGCGCUGUAUCUCUUCUCCCAAGUAAUGUGGAACACGAGGAAUUCUGCAUGAAUCUGCGAGGACCAAAUCUCGUAAGGCUAAAUACUCUUUCUAACCGAUAGCGCAUAGUACCGUGAGGGAAAGGUGAAAAGAACCCCGGGAGGGGAGUGAAAGAGAACCUGAAAUUGUGUGCUUACAAGCGGUCAGAGCCACUUCGGUGGUGAUGGCGUGCCUUUUGGAGAAUGAUCCUGCGAGUUACGUUUCAUGGCGAGGUUAAGAAGAACGGAGCCGAAGGGAAACCGAGUCUGAAUAGGGCGCAAGAGUCGUGGAGCGUAGACGCGAAACCCGGUGAUCUAAGCCUGUCCAGGAUGAAGCUGUGGUAAGACACAGUGGAGGUCCUAACCCACCGCCGUUGAAAAGUUGGGGGAUGAGGUAGGUUUAGGGGUGAAAAGCCAAUCGAACCGGGAGAUAGCUCGUUCUCUCCGAAAUGCAUCUAGGUGCAGCCUUGCGUGUUUAAUGAUGGGGGUAGAGCACUGACUGAACUAGGGGGCAUAUAGCUUACUGAAUUCAAUCAAACUCCGAAUACCAUUAUUCAAGAGCGCAGGAGUGAGACCAUGGGAGUUAACUUCCAUCGUCGAAAGGGAAACAACCCAGACCACCGGCUAAGGUCCCAAAUCAUAUCUAAGUGGGAAAGGAGGUGGAGAUUCUUAAACAACUAGGAGGUUGGCUUAGAAGCAGCCAUUCCUUGAAAGAGUGCGUAAUAGCUCACUAGUCGAGAGUCUCUGCGCCGACAAUGUAACGGGGCUAAGAUAUGAACCGAAGCUGUGGAUGUCGUAAGACAUGGUAGGAGAGCGUUCUGUAGGCCGUCGAAGGAGGACUGAAAGGAACUCUGGAGGUAUCAGAAGUGAGAAUGCAGGAAUAAGUAGCGAGAAGGGGAGUGAGAAUCUCCCCCGCUGGAAGACCAAGGUUUUCAGGGUAAAGCUUGUCUUCCCUGA